CCUGACUGCUAUCGGAUUGAUACUAAGCCAUGCGAGUCUUUGCAGUAAUGCAAGGCAUACGGCUCAGUAACACGUAGUCAACUUACCCUAUGGACGAGGAUAAUCUUGGGAAACUGAGCAUAAUACUCGAUAGAUCAUAAUGCCUGGAAUGGUUUAUGGUUGAAAUGAUUCGUCGCCAUAGGAUAGGACCGCGGCCUAUCAGCUUGUUGGUGAGGUAAUGGCCCACCAAGGCGAUUACAGGUACGGGCUCUGAGAGGAGAAGCCCGGAGAUGGGUACUGAGACAAGGACCCAGGCCCUAUGGGGCGCAGCAGGCGAGAAAACUUUGCAAUGUGCGAAAGCACGACAAGGUUAAUCCGAGUGAUUUCUGCUAAAGAAAUCUUUUGCAAGUCAUAAAACCACUAGUGAAUAAGGGGUGGGCAAGUUCUGGUGUCAGCCGCCGCGGUAAAACCAGCACCUCAAGUGGUCAGGAGGAUUAUUGGGCCUAAAGCAUCCGUAGCCGGCUCUGUAAGUUUUCGGUUAAAUCCAUGUGCUCAACGCAUGGGCUGUCGAAAAUACUGCAUAGCUAGGGAGUGGGAGAGGUAGACGGUACUCGGUAGGAAGGGGUAAAAUCCUUUGAUCUAUCGAUGACCACCUGUGGCGAAGGCGGUCUACCAGAACACGUUCGACGGUGAGGGAUGAAAGCUGGGGGAGCAAACCGGAUUAGAUACCCGGGUAGUCCCAGCUGUAAACGAUGCAGACUCGAUGAUGCAUUGGCAUAUAGCCAGUGCAGUGUCGCAGGGAAGCCGUUAAGUCUGCCGCCUGGGAAGUACGUACGCAAGUAUGAAACUUAAAGGAAUUGGCGGGGGAGCACCACAAGGGGUGAAGCCUGCGGUUC
Molecule: ribosomal RNA, 875 nt
Filed under: uncultured archaeon
Lineage: Archaea
Description: bacterial SSU rRNA
Rfam family: Archaeal small subunit ribosomal RNA
Source: RNAcentral